This 424-nucleotide ribosomal RNA is filed under the name uncultured prokaryote. RNAcentral's name for it is "bacterial SSU rRNA". It matches the Rfam family "Bacterial small subunit ribosomal RNA", at positions 355 to 796 of the family's 1533-position model. The record is from RNAcentral.
UGGGGAAUUUUGCGCAAUGGGGGCAACCCUGACGCAGCAAUGCCGCGUGGGUGAAGAAGGCCCUAGGGUUGUAAACCCCUUUCAGCGGGGAAGAUAAUGACGGUACCCGCAGAAGAAGCUCCGGCUAACUCCGUGCCAGCAGCCGCGGUAAUACGGAGGGAGCUAGCGUUGUUCGGAAUUACUGGGCGUAAAGCGCGCGUAGGCGGACUUUCAAGUCAGGGGUGAAAUCCCGAGGCUCAACCUCGGAACUGCCUUUGAUACUGUAAGUCUUGAGUCCGAGAGAGGUGAGUGGAAUUCCUAGUGUAGAGGUGAAAUUCGUAGAUAUUAGGAAGAACACCAGUGGCGAAGGCGGCUCACUGGCUCGGUACUGACGCUGAGGUGCGAAAGCGUGGGGAGCAAACAGGAUUAGAUACCCCCGUAGUCC